RNAcentral lists this long non-coding RNA (857 nucleotides) under Mytilus galloprovincialis (Mediterranean mussel). The record is from RNAcentral. Lineage: Eukaryota; Metazoa; Mollusca; Bivalvia; Mytilida; Mytilidae.
UCUGCUAUGACUUAGUUGAUACGAUGUGUGUAUUCACGGCUCUGUGGCAAUACUCGUAGAUGACUUGUUGAAAGGUAAAUUGUUAUUUGCACUUCGGUAUUUAACCACGCCUCUAGGGCACACCUUGCCAGGUGUGACUGUCUAUUCGGAUCAGUGAAUUAUAAAACAAGGGAGCAUUAAAUACACACAUUUAAAAUAUAUAUUCAAGUUGGUGACAAAUAAAAAUUGAUCGCCGUGGAAUUAUUUAAUUAUAUUUUGUUCUUUUAUUUAUUUGAAUUCAAAUUAGUUAAUUUACAAAGGAAUACACAAUUUUCGGUUAAAGACGGGAAACUUAAUUCAUAUGUCAGAUUGAAAUGAUAUACGCCUGUUGUCCUUGAUUGUUGUCUAUAAAAAGGAGAACUUAGAAAUUAGAAAUAGCUUUACCAAAGUAUUUUUAUUUGUCUUUAUUAGGCGAAAAAAUGUACGAGAACACUUAGAUUUAGACUUUUAAAAGCCAUGUAUUAAUUAAUAACUGGAACUAUCCGAGAAAGACCGUUGAGGGAUUUAGGGCUGCCCUGAAGGCAUGCUCUGAAAGGAAGUAGGAAAAACCAGUUGUAAAUAAUUUUAAUUGUAUAUUUUUUGCGAACGUUUUAAAUUUAAUUUGUAAAUAGCCAAGAGAAAUCUUUCCGUGUUGCCCGACACUGCGUAUAGUUUUCGCGCGGAACCAUUUACAUUCAGCACUGAAUCCGGUUCCUUACCUGGAAGAAGAAGAAGAAGAAGAUAACUCCACCGAAGCGGAAUAUAAUAUUUACGAAUAAAGAAAAAAUACUUUUGUACUUGAGAGGUUUUAAAAAAUUGACAGCAAAUUUAAGGUUUCU